CUUCUGUUACAUCACAAAACCAGGGGGCGUUCCCCAGCGAAUACCGAGCCGUGAGCAUAAAAUACCAGGAAAUGUUCUUUAAACAGCUCAGCACAGUCACUGCUCCCAGAACCACAGCCGCCGUUUUCUCACUGCAAUAUUUACUUUUCAGCUUCUGGCAACAAAUGGCCACAAACCGAUCAAAGGUGAAAGUGACGGUGAACCAGACAGAGCAGUCAGUGGCUGCAUAAAGCAGGACGGCGUGGAUAUUACACACGGGGACGGAGUACUCCAGGAAAUAAAACUGUUCCCAAUAAACAAUGGGAAUGUGUCUCAGGAUCAGGUCGAGGAUAAUGACCAGGAGAUCCGCCGCUGCCAUGGCCCCCAGGUAUCUGUGCCAGCUGUCUGGAUACAGAAUUGGCUGGCAAGCAGAAGACAGCGAGUGGUAGUGGAAGGAAAAUAUUCUGCCUGGAAGUCUGUGGGCCAUAUAAACAUAUCUUCAAAUCAACCGAGACCAUUUUCUGCUCAGUGUAUGGCUCUGUGUAUAACAGCAGCAAUGAUGCACCGACAUGGAACAGGGAAUGUGAUGGAGACAUAGUUUGGACAAUGUACAAGGAGACCUCACAUGGUCCAGUUUGGGAGAGAAUGAUUUUAUUGUGUGAUUCAACUCAGAGAGGGAGACAAUGUCAUCUGCCCGAGAAGAAACGGCCUAUUGCACUCUCUCUCCUUCAUUAUUCCUCAUCACAGUAACGUGUACGAGCUAAAACAAAACUCUACUGUCAUCAUUACCAUUCUUAUUUUUAUAGAAUCCCUGCAGUGUGGAAACAAGCCCUUCGGCCCAACAAGUCCAUACUAACCCUCCAAUGAGUAACCUUCCCAUGCCCUUACAGUUACCACUGACUAGUGCACCUAAAGUAGAAAUCGUUGAACACUAUGGACUAUUUGAUCAAUCCACUUGAAUUAUACAGCUUUGGGCUGUGGGAGGAAACGGGAGCACCCAUCAGAAGCUCACACAGACAAGGGGAGAAGAUGCAAACUCCACGCAGAUAGUCGCCUGAGGCUGGAAUUGAACUCAUGCCCCUGAUGCUGUGAUGGAACAGUGCGAACUAGUGAGCCACUGUGCUAACCUGGAACCUCCUGUCUGCCUAAUGCAAAGGGAAUUCAGCCAAAUCCGACCCUCCCACGAUAAAAUCCCAUUGCUAGCGGCUGUGUGAGUACAAUAUCUUCAGAAGUAGAAUAACAUUUUGGACAAUCUCACAAUUUUUCCUUUUGUCAUUAGUUACACUAAUAUUUUGACAAGGUUGCAGAGAUUUUGUUUAUUUUAAGGGCGGCAUGGUGGCAGUGGUUAGCACUGCUGUCUCACAGCGCCAGAGACCCGGGUUCAAUUCCCGCCUCAGGCGACUGACUGUGUGGAGUUUGCACAUUCUCCCCGUGUCUGCGUGGGAUUCCUCCCACAAUCCAAAAAUGUGCAGGUUAGGUGAAUUGACCAUGCUAAAUUGCCCAUAGUGUAAGGUGCCAGGGUAAGUGCAGAGGAAUGGAUCUGGGUGGGUUGCGCUUUGGUGGGUCGGUGUGGACUUGUUGGACCAAAGGGCCUGUUUCCACACUGUAAGUAAUCUAAUCUACUUUGUGUGUGUGUGUGUGUGUCAGUGUAUUUAGAACGGGAAAUAACGGUUCUUUAUUUGCAAUAUCCAAACAGUUUGUCAUUCAUCUUUCCACCUUAGUUGGAGUAACAUUGCUCUGGAUCAUAAACGUGCUAUUUGAGCAGAUUAAAGAAA
Hemiscyllium ocellatum (epaulette shark) is the source of this 1754-nucleotide long non-coding RNA. RefSeq lists it as uncharacterized. Lineage: Eukaryota; Metazoa; Chordata; Chondrichthyes; Orectolobiformes; Hemiscylliidae. The transcript has 3 exons. The record is from RefSeq and is a predicted model, not a curated record.